This 435-nucleotide ribosomal RNA is filed under the name uncultured bacterium. RNAcentral describes it as "partial 16S ribosomal RNA". It matches the Rfam family "Bacterial small subunit ribosomal RNA", at positions 28 to 507 of the family's 1533-position model. The record is from RNAcentral.
GAUGAACGCUGGCGGUAUGCUUAACACAUGCAAGUCGAACGGACUCUUCGGAGUUAGUGGCGGACGGGUGAGUAACGCGUGAGAAACUGGCUUUGGGUUCGGGACAACCACUGGAAACGGUGGCUAAUACCGGAUGUGCCGAGAGGUAAAAGAGAAAUUGCCUGAAGAUGAGCUCGCGUCUGAUUAGCUAGUUGGUGAGGUAAAGGCUCACCAAGGCAGCGAUCAGUAGCUGGUCUGAGAGGAUGACCAGCCACACUGGGACUGAGACACGGCCCAGACUCCUACGGGAGGCAGCAGUGGGGAAUUUUCCGCAAUGGGCGAAAGCCUGACGGAGCAAUACCGCGUGAGGGAAGAAGGCUCUUGGGUUGUAAACCUCUUUUCUUAGGGAAGAACAAAAUGACGGUACCUAAGGAAUCAGCAUCGGCUAACUCCGUG